CGCAGCCGCGGUAAUUCCAGCUCCAAUAGCGUAUAUUAAAGUUGUUGCAGUUAAAAAGCUCGUAGUUGAAUUUCGGAAUCAAUAUAUCGGUCGUGCCUUGGUACGUACCGGUAUCAUUGGUUUCUCCUUUCUGACGAACCAUGAUGUCAUUAAUUUGGUGUUAUGGGAAGUUAGGACUGUUACUUUGAAAAAUUAGAGUGUUUAAAGCAGGCUUUGGCUUGAAUACAUUAGCAUGGAAUAAUGAAAUAGGACGUUCGAACCUAUUUUGUUGGUUUCUAGGAUCAACGUAAUGAUUAAUAGGGAUAGUUGGGGGCAUUAGUAUUCAAUUGUCAGAGGUGAAAUUCUUGGAUUUAUUGAAGACUAACUACUGCGAAAGCAUUUGCCAAGGAUGUUUUCAUUAAUCAAGAACGAAAGUUAGGGGAUCGAAGACGAUCAGAUACCGUCGUAGUCUUAACCAUAAACUAUGCCGACUAGGGAUCGGAUGAUGUUAAUUUUUAAUGACUCAUUCGGCGCCUUACGG
Molecule: unclassified non-coding RNA, 520 nt
Filed under: uncultured Glomus
Lineage: Eukaryota; Fungi; Glomeromycota; Glomeromycetes; Glomerales; Glomeraceae
Description: SSU rRNA
Rfam family: Eukaryotic small subunit ribosomal RNA
Source: RNAcentral